This is a long non-coding RNA of Trichomycterus rosablanca, 464 nucleotides long. RefSeq lists it as uncharacterized. The record is from RefSeq and is a predicted model, not a curated record. Lineage: Eukaryota; Metazoa; Chordata; Actinopteri; Siluriformes; Trichomycteridae. The transcript has 4 exons.
UGGUGUUUGCUUGGUUGAUCAGGAGUCUCAGUCUGUUUGUUGCAAAAAGAUUAAACACUUUGAUCUAAUGUUCAUAACAGCAACCUGGACUGCACAGAAGAGCUGGAGAGGAGAAUAUUGAAUAUAGAAGACCAGGGCAGAAGCUUCGUGUUCACCUGAUCGGAACGUUCUGGAGGUUUGGAGCAGUGUUGUGCUGAAGAAGCUGACUGGAACGUUGCAGCACAUUAAUCUUGUACAAGUUUUUCAUUUCAACCUUCUAACAACAUUAAUACAACGUUUAAUGUCUCAAAAACAGUGGUUUAAAGAAGUUUGUGCACCACUGGUGAAGAUUUUAAUAAUAUAAGACUCUACAAUAGAGGAGAAGUUCUGAUUAUUUGCUUGAUUUGACUUUUGUUUGAUGACCUGCAUGAAUUUACUCUCCAUGUUCCAGUAGAUCAGAUCCAGUAAAUAAAAUCUAAUGUGAA